GGCGGUUUGAGUGGCGGCGGCGGGUUUUGGUUACCAGCGAGAUGCAGCAGCAGCGAGAGCAAACACGUCCCUGUAAAAUGGGGCUCAGCAAGGGGAAAGUGGUGUUGGACAGAAGCUCAUCAAUCAGCAGUGAUCUGGAGAGAUGCUCUAUACACACUGGCACUGAGGAGGAUCGCAGGAAUAGCUCUCAGAGCAAAGUCACUGUGGAGAAACUAGAAAGGGAAAACGCUAAGCUGAAAAUGCAGUAUGAAGAGCUGAAGCGCCAGUAUGUGCAGCUCCUGGAGGAGGCGAAGGAGGAGAAGUUUGAGGAAAGGAGAGUCAACCUGCUCAAAGCUCAGGUUAUGCAGCUGGAAAGACAGGUGAUUUUGCUGUCUGAAGGUCUGAGCUCGCAGCUGUGCUGCAGUCAGGAUGUAGAGAAGGCUCUUGAUCCUCUAACACACAGAUUAAGAUCACUGCUGAGCUCUGGAGGUGCUGAUGAGGUGAUCAUAGCUUGGUCUGAGCUCACCCAGCUCGUGGAAAGGUGUGAAGAUGUGAAGCAGAAGCUCCACAGGAAAAUUAAGGUGAGCUCGGCGGAGGACCUGGCCGUUCCCUGGCUGCUGAGUGGGUCAAAACUGACCAAGCAGCCCACCACCACCCUGCUGGACCUCUGCUACGGCAAGAUAAAUAACCUGAACCUUCAGCAAGUGAGCGCUCUGGAGUCCAGGCUCAGCCAGCUGUUCAAACACCUGCACGGAAUACGACAGACCGUUGGCCUGAUCCUCGCCCCUCACCCAGAUCUCCACCCCGCUAAGCUAGCAAGUCCCAAGCAAGUCCCGACGCCCCCGGCUCCCUCAGCCCUCUACGCCCGGCUGCUCAACCAGGCCAGCCUCUGCUGCUCAGACCUGGACCGCUGCUGCCGAGACCUCCUGACCCUGUCCCUCAUCGUACCCUCAGCACCCUGGGCUGGCUCAGAACAACGGGUGAUCCCUGAGCUGGAGGUGGAGAACAUCCUGGCAACGCUGCCUGCCUUCCCCCGGGGAGCGCCCCUCCAGCGGGCCAGACGCUCCGCCCAGGCCCUCAGCCGAGCCGCCAAUUACUCACUGCUAAUGGCCCAGCAGCAGGUAGAAGCUCUGGAGACUGAGCUGGAGUUCCACAGGAGCCUGUACAGCCUGCAGGUGCGAACCGUAGAGGAGCUGGUGCAGGGAAUCCGCCAGGCCUACCAAACCUUCCAGGAGAACAUCUCUCACAGCCUGUGUGCUCCACUGCAAGGAGAUGAAGCCCUGGCGCAGUACGGUCGUGAUUUCCUGCAGUCUGUGGAAGCUCUGCUGAAAGACUGCGCUGAAAACAGAGAGAAAGCAGCCAGUAAGCUUCAGCUGCUUCAGCACAAGCAGCAGCAGGCCUUACACACCCUACACACACUCUCCAGAGCCCACCGGAGAGAGCCCAGCAUCCCACCAGCCCAGCCACAUGCACCGGGUCCUGCUACCACGCAGCAGGUCAGCCCUCCAGCCCUGGAUCAGUCUGGAAACUCUGGAGACCCCAGCAGGAGACUCCCAGAUAAACAACCCACUCUCCUGCCAGCCCAGCAGGAGCACAGAGCGCUGAGAAAGCCUCUGACAGAGGACAUCGCAUCAGAUACCUCCAGACACGAGACGCCCCAACCCACCGGGGUCAACCAGAGGCCAACCAGGAGGAGGAGGAGGAGUUCUCCCAGGAGCAGAGAGGUAGCAGCUAAAGCAGAGCAGCAGUAGAGCACUGAUAUUACAGACACUGCAGAGAGAACAGGUUACGCCUGCUUCAUGCUUUUCAUUAUUAUAAUAUAAUAUUAUACACUUUUAAAAGUGGUUGACUUAAUGCAGUAUUAAAUGUCUUUUUCCUGAUAUAUCUCAUUAACAACAGUGUAUUUGCAAUAUUCUAAUUUUCAUGAUUUUCUUAUGCUAUUACUCACAACAUGACAUACCAGUACCAGUCAAAAGUUUAGACAAACCUUCUAAUUUUUUUUCAUACAUUGUAAACUAAUACUGAAGUGAUUCAGACUAUAAAGGAACACAUAAAAAUAAUGUAGUAACUUAAAAAAGUGUUAAACUAACCAAAACACUCUGAUAACUCGGUACCACUUUAAAAUAAGACUACCUUUAUAAAGGGUUUAUAAAUAGUUAAUUACAAUUAGUUUAUUAGGGUGUUAAUGCCUUAAAAAUCAUUAAUAAUCAGUUAUAACACAUGCGUAGAAUGGGCAACAAUGACCUGUUGUUUGCCAAAUAGUGAACUAUAUUACACAGCCGUCUAUAUUGUUGCUCUUUCUACGUAUGUGUUAUAACUGAUUAUUAAUAAUUUUUAAGGCAUUUACAACCUAAUUAGUAACCAUUAAUAAACUCAUUGUAAACCAUUUAUAAAUGCUUUAU
Molecule: long non-coding RNA, 2381 nt
Filed under: Astyanax mexicanus (Mexican tetra)
Lineage: Eukaryota; Metazoa; Chordata; Actinopteri; Characiformes; Acestrorhamphidae
Description: lncRNA (ENSAMXG00005010094.1)
Source: RNAcentral